Molecule: ribosomal RNA, 392 nt
Filed under: uncultured bacterium
Lineage: Bacteria
Description: bacterial SSU rRNA
Rfam family: Bacterial small subunit ribosomal RNA
Source: RNAcentral
GACGAACGCUGGCGGCGUGCUUAACACAUGCAAGUCGAGCGGUAAGGCCCUUUCGGGGGUACACGAGCGGCGAACGGGUGAGUAACACGUGGGUGACCUGCCCUCAGCUCUGGGAUAAGCCUGGGAAACCGGGUCUAAUACUGGAUAUGACUCCAUGACGCAUGUUGUGGGGUGGAAAGCCUUGUGCGGCUGAGGAUGGGCCCGCGGCCUAUCAGCUUGUUGGUGGGGUGANGGCCUACCAAGGCGACGACGGGUAGCCGGCCUGAGAGGGCGACCGGCCACACUGGGACUGAGACACGGCCCAGACUCCUACGGGAGGCAGCAGUGGGGAAUCUUGCGCAAGUGGGCGAAAGCCUGACGCAGCGACGCCGCGUGAGGGAUGACGGCCUGGU